RNAcentral lists this ribosomal RNA (510 nucleotides) under uncultured bacterium. Its description in RNAcentral is "partial 16S ribosomal RNA". It matches the Rfam family "Bacterial small subunit ribosomal RNA", at positions 28 to 523 of the family's 1533-position model. The record is from RNAcentral.
GACGAACGCUGGCGGCGUGCCUAAUACAUGCAAGUCGAGCGAAUGACGAGAAGCUUGCUUCUCUGAUUUAGCGGCGGACGGGUGAGUAACACGUGGGCAACCUGCCCUACAGAUCGGGAUAACUCAGGGAAACCUGGGCUAAUACCGGAUAAUCCUUCGAAUCACAUGUUUUGAGGUUGAAAGGCGCUUCGGCGUCACUGUAGGAUGGGCCCGCGGUGCAUUAGCUAGUUGGUGGGGUAACGGCCUACCAAGGCAACGAUGCAUAGCCGACCUGAGAGGGUGAUCGGCCACAUUUGGACUGAGACACGGCCCAAACUCCUACGGGAGGCAGCAGUAGGGAAUCUUCCACAAUGGACGAAAGUCUGAUGGAGCAACGCCGCGUGAGUGAUGAAGGUUUUCGGAUCGUAAAACUCUGUUGUAAGGGAAGAACAAGCACGUUAGGAAAUGAACGUACCUUGACGGUACCUUAUUAGAAAGCCACGGCUAACUACGUGCCAGCCGCCGCGGUAA